This 316-nucleotide ribosomal RNA is filed under the name Austinixa aidae. Its description in RNAcentral is "partial large subunit ribosomal RNA". The record is from RNAcentral. Lineage: Eukaryota; Metazoa; Arthropoda; Malacostraca; Decapoda; Pinnotheridae.
UAACUUUUAAGUGAAAAGGCUUAAAUAUUUUAAGAAGACGAUAAGACCCUAUAAAGCUUUAUAAGAAGUUUAUAUUUAGUUAAAAUAAAUAAUAAAAUCUUAAUAUUUACUCUUAUUUUAUUGGGGAGAUAAAAUUAUAAUUUAAUAUAACUGAGUUUUAUUAAUACAAAAAUAAAUGUUUAUUAGUAGAUAAAAGAUCCCUUCUAGGGAUUUUAAGUUUAAGUUACUUUAGGGAUAACAGCGUUAUUUCUUUUGAGAGUUCGUAUCGAAAAAGAAGAUUGCGACCUCGAUGUUGAAUUAAAAUUUCUAGAUUAUU